RNAcentral lists this long non-coding RNA (498 nucleotides) under Triticum aestivum (bread wheat). RNAcentral's name for it is "long non-coding RNA (TAES_LNC012595)". The record is from RNAcentral. Lineage: Eukaryota; Viridiplantae; Streptophyta; Magnoliopsida; Poales; Poaceae.
UCACAGUAAUCCAAACACAUUGCCCAUGGCCAUGCCAAGGCGUCAGGGGAGCGCGGAGGCAGGGGGCUGGCAGCCACAGCCGACCACGCACUGCGGUCUCGUCGGAAAGCAAGGCUCUCCCGCUACAUGCGAACAACAGUAACACACAUUAUUCGGGCAGCUGGGCGAAGGGAUCUGCGGGCAGAUGCACAUUUGGAGCUUGCUGCCAUCCAUCUGACCACUUGUUCGACCUGUACCAAAGCAGAGAAAGGUCGAUUAGACCAGGCUAUCAGCAGGUGAUUAAAUAAUUUCCAAAAUGUUUCCGGGAAUCUUCUUGGAUUCACUUUGUGUGCAAUUCGUCGAAACUAGGCGGCGGUGAUCGAAUGAUUUUUGAAAACAACUAAACUUUUACAAGAAUUCAAACUAUUACUUCUGAAGUAGGUACUAGUGCGACUUACACUGUGAAUGUAUUGUGGUACAUGCGAGGAUGAUCAUCAUAAGCAUCGCAGCCCAGUUUCC